RNAcentral lists this ribosomal RNA (400 nucleotides) under uncultured bacterium. RNAcentral describes it as "bacterial SSU rRNA". It matches the Rfam family "Bacterial small subunit ribosomal RNA", at positions 355 to 747 of the family's 1533-position model. The record is from RNAcentral.
UGGGGAAUCUUCCGCAAUGGACGAAAGUCUGACGGAGCAACGCCGCGUGAACGAUGACGGCCUUCGGGUUGUAAAGUUCUGUUAUAUGGGACGAACAGGAUAGCGGUCAAUACCCGUUAUCCCUGACGGUACCGUAAGAGAAAGCCACGGCUAACUACGUGCCAGCAGCCGCGGUAAUACGUAGGUGGCAAGCGUUGUCCGGAAUUAUUGGGCGUAAAGGGCGCGCAGGCGGCAUCGCAAGUCGGUCUUAAAAGUGCGGGGCUUAACCCCGUGAGGGGACCGAAACUGUGAAGCUCGAGUGUCGGAGAGGAAAGCGGAAUUCCUAGUGUAGCGGUGAAAUGCGUAGAUAUUAGGAGGAACACCAGUGGCGAAAGCGGCUUUCUGGACGACAACUGACGCU